AGUUACCAGCCUCAGUGAGAGCUCUGGGCAGUGAAAUAAAAGCACCCAUAUGUUAUAUAUGGAGCGGUAAUUUGUGUCAGAAAAAUGGUUGAUAUUAAUAAAGAAGGGGGAGAUUUGGGAAUGUGGCAAUGGGGGUCGGAAAGCCCCGUGGUUGGUGAUAACAUCAGACUCUUAACGAUGAGGCCAUCAGGAAUGUAAAGAGUUUAGAGGAAACAAAGAAGGGGGAUUGAGGCGACGCCCUGCUGGCUGGGGUUGCUUGUUUUCCCCUCUGUUAAGGCAGGGAAGUUGCUGGGGGGGUUGCUGGUUAGAACUGUUAACGUUUAUUGUUUAAUGUUAUAUGAUAAUAAUAUUAUUAGUGUGAUUUCAAGGGUUAACGAAACUCGGGAAAAGCAAUCACGUUUUGUUGCUUUGGGGAACCUUGUGGUGGGCAGAGCAUGUGCAGAAGAAGAGGGAGACGCUCGAAGCCGCUCCUGCAGUCUGGAACAAAAGCCGCAGACAAAGCAAUCUGAAGUGAGCGAUGAUGAAGGUUUGAAAACAGCAGGAAAACCAUUUUUGUUGCGGACCCCAACGGCAAGGUAACGCCUAAUUACCACUACAAAAACCUUUCUAUGCAAAGAUAAGCGGACAGUCGUCAGCACUACUGGAACUAAAAGCCCGCUAAGUCUUUGUAAUUGGUUUAAUUUGGUUUAUUUUACUCUGUCUAGCAGAUAAAAGGAGCCGGCCCCGCAGCCCAGCCUGUUCAGAAAGCACUUGUGGUCGCCACGCGCGGACACACACGGUGCCGCUUUUCCCACAACAGCAAGCGUUAAAAAAACUAUUUAUAAAGGCAUUCAAAAAUGCGCCGCUGGCCUCGGGGGUGCCGCGGGGAGCCGCCGUGGGGGGAGCAGGGCCUGAGGCAGGGCACGGGUCGGGGGGCAGCACCCGCAGCAACGCGGCUGUGCCCACCUGGGUGCGGGGCUCGGUGAGGGUGGUCCCGCAGCAGCCCGCAGUGCGUGGCACGGAGUUCUCAGUUGUCAUUUUCCGUGCUGCAGGGGGGUUCCGUACCUCCCUCCAAAAACUGACUCUGAAAAUCCUGGGUUUACAGUCUGGGUUUUGGAGAUAAAGUCGUAUUUGUGCAAUUCACUUUGAAACGCCUGUUAUGUGGUUCAUUCUCCACAGAUUCCUGUAUCUCGGCUGCUUGGCCUGAGAUGUGCAUGGGUUUACAGCCUGUCCACUCGGCUCCUUUGUCCUCCUUUUUUAGAAUCUUAUGUAAAUGAUAAAUACCCUUGGCCCAACGUACAUGUAUGUACCCAUAGAACCUCCUUAAAAGCAGACUAAUGUUUUGAGGAUUUACAGAUAACAUUUUAAAAUAGUUGUAUGUACCCUAUACUAUCUAACGAUGGCAUAUAUGAAAUAGUAAUUACCAGAGUAACAAUGCCACAUUCAGCAGUUAGCCCCACAAGCUGCCAACCCCACAGAUUUUUAAAGAAUUUUCGGUGCCUGGAGAUGCAAAUAAUUUGUGAAUGUGAGUUUCAAGCCAUCUUGAAACAAGGUUAGGGAAGGCA
RNAcentral lists this long non-coding RNA (1544 nucleotides) under Anas platyrhynchos platyrhynchos (common mallard). RNAcentral describes it as "lncRNA (ENSAPLG00000024991.1)". Lineage: Eukaryota; Metazoa; Chordata; Aves; Anseriformes; Anatidae. The record is from RNAcentral.